This 459-nucleotide ribosomal RNA is filed under the name uncultured bacterium. RNAcentral's name for it is "partial 16S ribosomal RNA". It matches the Rfam family "Bacterial small subunit ribosomal RNA", at positions 338 to 795 of the family's 1533-position model. The record is from RNAcentral.
CCUACGGGUGGCAGCAGUGAGGAAUAUUGGUCAAUGGCCGGAAGGCUGAACCAGCCAAGCCGCGUGAAGGACGAAGGUGUCAAGCAUUGUAAACUUCUUUUGUCAAGGGACAAAAUCAGGCUCGAGAGCCUGACCGAGGGUACUUGAAGAAAAAGCAUCGGCUAACUUCGUGCCAGCAGCCGCGGUAAUAUGGGGGAUGCGAGCGUUACCUGGAUCUAUGGGGUUGAAAGGGUGCGUAGGGGGACUGUUAAGUCAGCGGUAAAAGCCCGGGGCUCAACCCCGGCGAGCCGUUGAAACUGGCUGUCUUGAGAUGUCGAGAGGGAUGCAGAAUGCGCAGUGUAGCGGUGAAAUGCGUAGAUAUUGCGCAGAACUCCGGUUGCGAAGGCAGCAUCCCGGCGGCGAUCUGACGCUGAGGCACGAAAGCGUGGGUAUCGAACAGGAUUAGAUACCCGGGUAGUC